Small nucleolar RNA from Arvicanthis niloticus (Nile rat), 128 nucleotides. RefSeq annotates it as small nucleolar RNA SNORA17. The record is from RefSeq and is a predicted model, not a curated record. NCBI's taxonomy places the organism in Eukaryota, Metazoa, Chordata, Mammalia, Rodentia, Muridae.
CCUGACCCUAGAGGUGUCACUGUUGUGUCACAUGUACGUCAGUGGGUGAUGGGGGACUGGAGGGAGAGCUAUGUCUAUGUUCUGUGUUCUAACCUGUGAACCUCUGAAUGAGAUUUAAGCUUAACAGU